Molecule: transfer RNA, 94 nt
Filed under: Vulcanimicrobiota bacterium
Lineage: Bacteria; Bacillati; Vulcanimicrobiota
Description: tRNA-Sec
Rfam family: Selenocysteine transfer RNA
Source: RNAcentral
GGGAGAGUACGGGUCUGGUGGCCCGCGCGGUCUUCAAAAUCGUCGAGGCCGGCGCAAUCCGGCUGCUAGGUUCGAUUCCUAGCCUCUCCCGCCA